This 59-nucleotide transfer RNA is filed under the name Haploginglymus sp. JP-2016. RNAcentral describes it as "tRNA-Thr". Lineage: Eukaryota; Metazoa; Arthropoda; Malacostraca; Amphipoda; Niphargidae. The record is from RNAcentral.
GUCUUUAUAGUUUAAAAAAAACCAUAGUCUUGUAAACUAUAAUUGAUAUCCUAAAGACU